Molecule: ribosomal RNA, 255 nt
Filed under: uncultured bacterium
Lineage: Bacteria
Description: partial 16S ribosomal RNA
Rfam family: Bacterial small subunit ribosomal RNA
Source: RNAcentral
UACGUAGGGGGCAAGCGUUUGUCCGGAAUUAUUGGGCGUAAAGAGCUCGUAGGCGGUUUGUCGCGUCUGCUGUGAAAAUCCAGGGCUUAACCCUGGACCUGCAGUGGGUACGGGCAGACUAGAGUGCGGUAGGGGAGAUCGGAAUUCCUGGUGUAGCGGUGAAAUGCGCAGAUAUCAGGAGGAACACCGGUGGCGAAGGCGGCCUGCUGGGCUAUGGCUGACACUGGAGGCGCGACAGCGUGGGGAGCAAACAGG